This 253-nucleotide ribosomal RNA is filed under the name uncultured bacterium. RNAcentral describes it as "partial 16S ribosomal RNA". It matches the Rfam family "Bacterial small subunit ribosomal RNA", at positions 524 to 776 of the family's 1533-position model. The record is from RNAcentral.
UACGGGGGGGGCAAGCGUUGUUCGGAAUUACUGGGCGUAAAGGGCUCGUAGGCGGCCAACUAAGUCAGACGUGAAAUCCCUCGGCUUAACCGGGGAACUGCGUCUGAUACUGGAUGGCUUGAGGUUGGGAGAGGGAUGCGGAAUUCCAGGUGUAGCGGUGAAAUGCGUAGAUAUCUGGAGGAACACCGGUGGCGAAGGCGGCUGUCUAGGCCAAUACUGACGCUGAGAUGCGAAAGCGUGGGGAGCAAACAGG